CCUAAAGAAUUUGGCGGUAUUUUAGUCUAUUCAGAGGAAUUUGUCCCUUAAUCGAUAACCCUCGUUUUAUCUUACUUAUAUUUUGUUUUACAGUAUGUAUAUCGCCGUUAUGAGUUUAUUUUUUAAGAAUUUAAAUUUACUUAAUAUUUAUUUUAUAAUAUUUCAGGUCAAGGUGCAGUUUAUAUUUAAGUGGUGAUGGAUUACAAUAUUAUUUGAAUAAACGGAAUAUUAUUUUAAAAUUUGUGUGAAGGUGGAUUUGUUAGUAAUUUUAAUUAUAGUGUUAAUUUGAUUUAUAGCUCUAAAAUAAGUACACAUCGCCCGAUCGCUCUA
RNAcentral lists this ribosomal RNA (330 nucleotides) under Pylaemenes sp. SB0044. RNAcentral describes it as "partial 12S ribosomal RNA". Lineage: Eukaryota; Metazoa; Arthropoda; Insecta; Phasmatodea; Heteropterygidae. The record is from RNAcentral.